CGCUGUGUAAAUUAGACACAGAAUUCAUGUUUCUUGUUUUCUCUCUUCCUUAACAGUUUCUAAACUACUGUAACACAGCACAAGGAUCUAGUGGCGGCCUUAUUACCUAUGGACCUACUUCAGGUUGUUUGUACUGAUCCUGAUUUUGCUUCAAUUAGACUCAUCUCUUCCCGUGUUAUAGAUUCUCACUAGAUAAAAAUCCUGUUGGGAUAUUUACUAGAUUCAUACACUCCAUCUAUAUAGGGAUGAAAAUUUGAAAAUGAGAGCAUUACUGUGUAAUGUGUAUAUUUCAAAACAGGGGGUGGGGGGAGUCUGUGUAAUGUUCAAAUUCAAAUUUUGCACAGGAGUUCACUCGAAAUUUUCAAUGUAAACACAGUAAUUAACGUAGUUCUCAAUAGCGGCCGGAGUGCCCGCUAUUGCAGCAGAGCGACAGUGACGUGUGAUGCAGACUUCUUUCGCGUUGCGAUUGGAGUGGCUGGGAUCGUGCUUCUGACUAUGAAGCCCAAGUGAAAUCCGCCAUGCUGGAUACUCCGUGACCUCCCUCGUGCCGUUGCCAACCACUCACUCUUCCAUUUGCGUUCUGUAACAGGGACAAUUCAUUUUCACAGUGGCGGCAUGAGCUAACAAAGAGCAUG
This 635-nucleotide long non-coding RNA is filed under the name Glycine max (soybean). RNAcentral describes it as "long non-coding RNA (GMAX_LNC003103)". The record is from RNAcentral. Lineage: Eukaryota; Viridiplantae; Streptophyta; Magnoliopsida; Fabales; Fabaceae.